UUAUUAGUACUUGAGGAAUAGAUUAUCACCAUUGUGCAUUGAUCGGAAUCUGGGUGUAAUUUUCAAUGUAAAGAAUAAUAUGGAUAAGACUUAUAAUCCCGGGAAUCCCAGGAAAAUCAGAAAAUGUCUA
Aricia agestis (brown argus) is the source of this 130-nucleotide long non-coding RNA. RefSeq lists it as uncharacterized. The transcript is spliced from 4 exons. The record is from RefSeq and is a predicted model, not a curated record. Lineage: Eukaryota; Metazoa; Arthropoda; Insecta; Lepidoptera; Lycaenidae.